UUGUAGCCUGCUAUGGUAUAACUUAGUGGCAGACGGGUGAGUAAUAUAUAGGAAUCUACCUAGUAGUACGGAAUAAUUGUUGGAAACGGCAAAUAAUACCGUAUACGCCCUACGGGGGAAAAAUUUUUUGCUAUUAGAUGAGCCUAUAUUAGACUAGCUAGUUGGUGGAGUAAUAGCCUACCAAGGCAAUGAUCUAUAGCUGAUCUGAGAGGAUGAUCAGCCACACUGGAACUGAGAUACGGUCCAGACUCCUACGGGAGGCAGCAGUGGGGAAUAUUGGACAAUGGGCGAAAGCCUGAUCCAGCCGUGCCGCAUGAGUGAAGAAGGCCUUUGGGUUGUAAAGCUCUUAUAGUGAGGAAGAUAAUGACGGUACUCACAGAAGAAGUCCUGGCUAACUCCGUGCCAGCAGCCGCGGUAAUACGGAGAGGGCUAGCGUUAUUCGGAAUUAUUGGGCGUAAAGGGCGCGUAGGCUGGUUAGUAAGUUAAAAGUGAAAUCCCGAGGCUUAACCUAGGAACUGCUUUUAAAACUGCCAACCUAGAGAUUGAAAGAGGAUAGAGGAAUUCCUAGUGUAGAGGUGAAAUUCGUAAAUAUUAGGAGGAACACCAGUGGCGAAGGCGUCUAUCCGGUUCAAAUCUGACGCUGAGGCGCGAAGGCGUGGGGAGCAAGCAGGAUUAGAUACCCUGGUAGUCCACGCUGUAAACGAUGAAUGUUAAAUAUGGGAAGUUUACUUUCUGUAUUACAGCUUAUGCGUUAAACAUUCCGCCUGGGGACUACNGUCGCAAGAUUAAAACUCAAAAGAAUUGACGGGGACCCGCACAAGCGGUUUAGCAUGUGGUUUAAUUCGAUGCNACGCGAAAAACCUUACCACUCCUUGACAUGAAAAUCAUACCUAUUC
This 896-nucleotide ribosomal RNA is filed under the name Wolbachia endosymbiont of Cirrula hians. Its description in RNAcentral is "bacterial SSU rRNA". It matches the Rfam family "Bacterial small subunit ribosomal RNA", at positions 73 to 1002 of the family's 1533-position model. Lineage: Bacteria; Pseudomonadati; Pseudomonadota; Alphaproteobacteria; Rickettsiales; Anaplasmataceae. The record is from RNAcentral.